AAAUUAUCAGAGCAAAUAUUUUGUUAAUUCAACUGCCUUUGCUUUGGACUUGGGGGCCUGCAGAUUUCACAGUCUGCUCCUCUUAAACGCAUUAGCUGGAUUCUCAGUGAGCUUGGUUCCACUCGGCGUGAUAAGUAUCACUCGCUGAGGACACCCGUUGAAAAAGGUGGCCAGGCUUGCGGAUGAACCGCUUCCAACGGUCUAUUGACUUAGACAAUGAAUUUACG
RNAcentral lists this unclassified non-coding RNA (227 nucleotides) under Rhizoctonia fusispora. Its description in RNAcentral is "partial internal transcribed spacer 2". Lineage: Eukaryota; Fungi; Basidiomycota; Agaricomycetes; Cantharellales; Ceratobasidiaceae. The record is from RNAcentral.